AUUAGAGUUUGAUCCUGGCUCAGGACGAACGCUGGCGGCGUGCCUAGCACAUGCAAGUCGAACGAAGUAUAUUUUCGGAUAUGCUUAGUGGCAGACGGGUGAGUAACGCGUGAACAAUCUGCCCUGUACACAGGAAUAGCCUCGGGAAACUGGGAUUAAAACCGGAUAACACUUUCUGGCCGCAUGGCUGGGAAGUCAAAUUGAUUUAGAGGUACAGGAUGAGUUCGCGUCUGAUUAGCUAGUUGGUGAGGUAACGGCUCACCAAGGCGACGAUCAGUAGCCGGCCUGAGAGGGUGAACGGCCACACUGGAACUGAGACACGGUCCAGACUCCUACGGGAGGCAGCAGUGGGGAAUAUUGCACAAUGGAGGAAACUCUGAUGCAGCGACGCCGCGUGAGUGAAGAAGGUCUUCGGAUCGUAAAACUCUGUCCUUGGUGACGAAAAAAUGACGGUAGCCAAGGAGGAAGCCCCGGCUAACUACGUGCCAGCAGCCGCGGUAAUAAU
This 505-nucleotide ribosomal RNA is filed under the name uncultured bacterium. Its description in RNAcentral is "bacterial SSU rRNA". It matches the Rfam family "Bacterial small subunit ribosomal RNA", at positions 1 to 526 of the family's 1533-position model. The record is from RNAcentral.